UACGACUACAUAUCAGGCAUAUCAAUAAGCGGAGGAAAAGAAACUAACUAGGAUUCCCUCAGUAACGGCGAGUGAAGCGGGAAGAGCUCAAAUUUGAAAUCUUCAAGGUUCUACCUUGACGAAUUGUAGUUUAAAGAAGUGUUUUCUGUUGGAGUUUUGGUAAAAGUUCUUUGGAGUAGGACAUCAUAGAGGGUGAGAAUCCCGUAUUUGACCAUUAUUUCCAGCUGUGUGAUACACUUUCAAAGAGUCGGAUUGUUUGGGAAUGCAGUCCAAAAUGGGUGGUAAAUUUCAUCUAAAGCUAAAUAUUGGCGAGAGACCGAUAGCGAACAAGUACCGUGAGGGAAAGAUGAAAAGAACUUUGAAAAGAGAGUUAAACAGUACGUGAAAUUGUCAAAAGGGAAGCGUUUGACACCAGUGUUGUUUUAUUGAAAAUCAAUUAAAUAGUUUUCGAUUUUAAGUAGUAUUGACCUUAUCAGCUUGCUGCUUUCUUCUCGGAAAUUAUUUAAUGCACUUUUCAGUUAACAAGUCAACAUCAAUUUCUUUUGUUGUAAAAAGGUAAGAGGAAGGUGGCUUGCGCUUCGGCUCAAGUGUUUAUAGCCUUUUACUUCUGCAAUCGGAGAGAUUGAGGUCUGCAGCGUAGAUCCUUCGGGGUUAGAUACAUUUGUGCUAAGCUAUAGCCUUGUAUAGACAACUUGUUGACUAUGCUCAGUCAUGUAGCUUACUCGCUUAUGCUAUUUUACCUACGCUUAGGAUGUUGACGCGCGUGUGUGCGUG
RNAcentral lists this ribosomal RNA (774 nucleotides) under uncultured Neocallimastigales. Its description in RNAcentral is "partial large subunit ribosomal RNA". It matches the Rfam family "Eukaryotic large subunit ribosomal RNA", at positions 24 to 639 of the family's 3401-position model. Lineage: Eukaryota; Fungi; Neocallimastigomycota; Neocallimastigomycetes; Neocallimastigales. The record is from RNAcentral.